CCUACGGGAGGCAGCAGUGAGGAAUAUUGGUCAAUGGACGGAAGUCUGAACCAGCCAUGCCGCGUGCAGGAAGACGGCUCUAUGAGUUGUAAACUGCUUUUGUACAAGGGUAAACCUGAAUACGUGUAUUCAGCUGAAAGUACUGUACGAAUAAGGAUCGGCUAACUCCGUGCCAGCAGCCGCGGUAAUACGGAGGAUCCAAGCGUUAUCCGGAUUUAUUGGGUUUAAAGGGUGCGUAGGCGGAUUGAUAAGUUAGAGGUGAAAUGUCCGAGCUUAACUCGGGAACUGCCUCUAAUACUGUUGAUCUAGAGAGUAGAUGCGGUAGGCGGAAUGUAUGGUGUAGCGGUGAAAGGCUUAGAGAUCAUACAGAACACCGAUUGCGAAGGCAGCUUACCAAUCUAUAUCUGACGUUGAGGCACGAAAGCGUGGGGAGCAAACAGGAUUAGAUACCCCAGUAGUC
RNAcentral lists this ribosomal RNA (460 nucleotides) under uncultured bacterium. RNAcentral describes it as "partial 16S ribosomal RNA". It matches the Rfam family "Bacterial small subunit ribosomal RNA", at positions 338 to 795 of the family's 1533-position model. The record is from RNAcentral.